GGCAUAUCCCCGGGGGGCCGCUGAAGGGUUCCAUCAAAUUGGUCGUUUGAUGGGUUCCCUGUACGGCGGCUGAGAGGCAGGCACGAGCCUGCGACCCGUUUGAACCUGAUCCGGUUAGCACCGGCGGAGGGAGGGAGCGGCUUUCACCC
This 149-nucleotide non-coding RNA is filed under the name Pseudomonadota bacterium. RNAcentral's name for it is "Proteobacteria bacterium TPP sequence". It matches the Rfam family "TPP riboswitch aptamer (THI element)". Rfam says of the family: Vitamin B(1) in its active form thiamin pyrophosphate (TPP) is an essential coenzyme that is synthesised by coupling of pyrimidine and thiazole moieties in bacteria. The previously detected thiamin-regulatory element, thi box was extended, resulting in a new, highly conserved RNA secondary structure, the THI element, which is widely distributed in eubacteria and also occurs in some archaea. Lineage: Bacteria; Pseudomonadati; Pseudomonadota. The record is from RNAcentral.